This 594-nucleotide ribosomal RNA is filed under the name uncultured bacterium. RNAcentral's name for it is "bacterial SSU rRNA". It matches the Rfam family "Bacterial small subunit ribosomal RNA", at positions 338 to 956 of the family's 1533-position model. The record is from RNAcentral.
CCUACGGGAGGCAGCAGUGGGGAAUAUUGGACAAUGGGCGCAAGCCUGAUCCAGCAAUGCCGCGUGAGUGAUGAAGGCCUUAGGGUCGUAAAGCUCUUUUACCAGGGAUGAUAAUGACAGUACCUGGAGAAUAAGCUCCGGCUAACUCCGUGCCAGCAGCCGCGGUAAUACGGAGGGAGCUAGCGUUGUUCGGAAUUACUGGGCGUAAAGCGUACGUAGGCGGUUAUUCAAGUCAGAGGUGAAAGCCCGGGGCUCAACCCCGGAACGGCCUUUGAAACUAGGUAGCUAGAAUCUUGGAGAGGUCAGUGGAAUUCCGAGUGUAGAGGUGAAAUUCGUAGAUAUUCGGAAGAACACCAGUGGCGAAGGCGACUGACUGGACAAGUAUUGACGCUGAGGUACGAAAGCGUGGGGAGCAAACAGGAUUAGAUACCCUGGUAGUCCACGCCGUAAACGAUGAUAACUAGCUGUCCGGGCACUUGGUGCCUGGGUGGCGCAGCUAACGCAUUAAGUUAUCCGCCUGGGGAGUACGGUCGCAAGAUUAAAACUCAAAGGAAUUGACGGCUGAGACGNGCGACGACGACGACGAGGAGGAGG